ACAACUUUUGGACCGUCGGUCUACCGAGCAAUAUCAUCCGCUCGGGGGAAGAUCUUCUUUUCGUGGU
This 67-nucleotide microRNA precursor is filed under the name Bombyx mori (domestic silkworm). RNAcentral describes it as "mir-2774 microRNA precursor family". It matches the Rfam family "mir-2774 microRNA precursor family". Lineage: Eukaryota; Metazoa; Arthropoda; Insecta; Lepidoptera; Bombycidae. The record is from Rfam by way of RNAcentral.